CCAGUUUGGAGUUGCAUCUUCCGGGGGAUCAAAACUAUCGGCUUUUAUUAAUGCAUCUAAAUUGGAGAAUCACAACACACGAUGAAAAAGACCGUUUCUACACGACGAUAGCUCUGAGUCAUUAACAUCCAGGACGCUGAUUAAAAACGAUGUUUCCUGUAAAUAUCCGAAGGCUGUUGUCAGGAGUACACUGUACGUCUUGUGUUUCUCCCAAGAGAAGCAGCACAUCAUCACUGCUGACAACAGGUGGGAGGAACCUGCCGCCACACCCGCACUGUCAUCAGGAUAGAUGGAGCGCCUGGGAGAAUCACUGUGGAUCAGCUGAAUCCUGCUACUGACACUGAACAGUAGGCAAUAUGAACAACACAGAUUGUAACAAACAAAUAAAAAAACAA
This is a long non-coding RNA of Megalobrama amblycephala (Wuchang bream), 395 nucleotides long. RefSeq lists it as uncharacterized. The transcript is spliced from 2 exons. The record is from RefSeq and is a predicted model, not a curated record. Lineage: Eukaryota; Metazoa; Chordata; Actinopteri; Cypriniformes; Xenocyprididae.